Molecule: ribosomal RNA, 466 nt
Filed under: uncultured bacterium
Lineage: Bacteria
Description: bacterial SSU rRNA
Rfam family: Bacterial small subunit ribosomal RNA
Source: RNAcentral
UGGAGGAAAGUAGGGGAUCGAAAGACCUUAUGCUUUUGGAGCGGCCGAUGUCUGAUUAGCUAGUUGGUAGGGUAAUGGCUUACCAAGGCGACGAUCAGUAGUUGGUCUGAGAGGACGACCAGCCACACUGGGACUGAGACACGGCCCAGACUCCUACGGGAGGCAGCAGUGGGGAAUUUUGGACAAUGGGCGCAAGCCUGAUCCAGCAAUGCCGCGUGAGUGAAGAAGGCCUUCGGGUUGUAAAGCUCUUUCAGUUGAGAAGAAAAAGUCGUGACUAAUAAUCAUGAUUCAUGACGGUAUCAACAGAAGAAGCACCGGCUAACUACGUGCCAGCAGCCGCGGUAAUACGUAGGGUGCGAGCGUUAAUCGGAAUUACUGGGCGUAAAGGGUGCGCAGGCGGUUCUGUAAGUCAGAUGUGAAAUCCCCGGGCUUAACCUGGGAACUGCGUUGAAACUACAAGGCUAGG